This 586-nucleotide ribosomal RNA is filed under the name Neofusicoccum batangarum. RNAcentral describes it as "partial large subunit ribosomal RNA". It matches the Rfam family "Eukaryotic large subunit ribosomal RNA", at positions 69 to 672 of the family's 3401-position model. Lineage: Eukaryota; Fungi; Ascomycota; Dothideomycetes; Botryosphaeriales; Botryosphaeriaceae. The record is from RNAcentral.
AGGGGAUUGCCUUAGUACGGCGAGUGAAGCGGCUAUAGCUCAAAUUUGAAAGCUGGCCCCUUCGGGGUCCGCGUUGUAAUUUGUAGAGGAUGAUUCGGCGAGGGCUCCCGUCUAAGUCCCUUGGAACAGGGCGUCAUAGAGGGUGAGAAUCCCGUAUGUGAUGGGCUGCCUUAGCCAUGUGAAUCUCCUUCGACGAGUCGAGUUGUUUGGGAAUGCAGCUCUAAAUGGGAGGUAAAUUUCUUCUAAAGCUAAAUACCGGCCAGAGACCGAUAGCGCACAAGUAGAGUGAUCGAAAGAUGAAAAGCACUUUGGAAAGAGAGUUAAAAAGUACGUGAAAUUGUUGAAAGGGAAGCGCUUGCAGCCAGACUUGUCCGCAGUUGCUCAGCUUGUCUCCUGACAGGCGUACUCCUCUGCGGACAGGCCAGCCUCAGUUCGGGCGGUCGGAUAAAGACCUAGGGAAUGUAGCUCCUCUCGGGGAGUGUUAUCGCCCUGGGUGCAAUGCGGCCAGCCUGGACUGAGGAUCUCGCUUCGGCUAGGAUGCUGGCGUAAUGGCUGUUAGCGGCCCUCAAAAAAAAAAAAAAAAACA